AGAACCAGUCCUUCGGGACUGGGGACAGCGGCGAACGGGUUGAGUAACACGUGGGUAAUCUGCCCUCGAUUCUGGGAUAGCCCGGGGAAACCCGGAUUAAUACCGGAUAGCCUCUCGAGCUUACGAGCUCGUGAGAAAAGGUGGCUUCGGCCUCCGAUCGAGGAUGAGCCCGCGGCGGAUUAGCUUGUUGGUGAGGUAAUGGCUCACCAAGGCGACGAUCCGUAGCUGGUCUGAGAGGACGAUCAGCCACACUGGGACUGAGACACGGCCCAGACUCCUACGGGAGGCAGCAGUGGGGAAUCUUGCGCAAUGGGCGAAAGCCUGACGCAGCGACGCCGCGUGGGGGAAGAAGGCCUUCGGGUUGUAAACCUCUUUCAGCAGGGACGAAGCCACUCGGGUGAAUAGCCCAGAGGGUGACGGUACCUGCAGAAGAAGCCCCGGCUAACUACGUGCCAGCAGCCGCGGUAAUACGUAGGGGGCAAGCGUUGUCCGGAUUUAUUGGGCGUAAAGAGCGUGUAGGCGGCCAGACAGGUCCGUUGUGAAAACUAGAGGCUUAACCUCUAGACGUCGAUGGAAACCGUCUGGCUAGAGUCCGGAAGAGGAGAAUGGAAUUCCUGGUGUAGCGGUGAAAUGCGCAGAUAUCAGGAAGAACACCCGUGGCUAAGGCGGUUCUCUAGUACGGUACUGACGCUGAGACGCGAAAGCGUGGGGAGCGAACAGGAUUAGAUACCCUGGUAGUCCACGCCGUAAACGAUGGGUGCUAGUUUUU
This 769-nucleotide ribosomal RNA is filed under the name uncultured Actinomycetes bacterium. Its description in RNAcentral is "bacterial SSU rRNA". It matches the Rfam family "Bacterial small subunit ribosomal RNA", at positions 70 to 824 of the family's 1533-position model. The record is from RNAcentral. Lineage: Bacteria; Bacillati; Actinomycetota; Actinomycetes.